This 72-nucleotide transfer RNA is filed under the name Streptococcus agalactiae. Its description in RNAcentral is "tRNA-Glu". It matches the Rfam family "tRNA". From Rfam's summary of the family: Transfer RNA (tRNA) molecules are approximately 80 nucleotides in length. Lineage: Bacteria; Bacillati; Bacillota; Bacilli; Lactobacillales; Streptococcaceae. The record is from RNAcentral. RNAcentral also lists the same sequence under 3 other names.
GGUCCGUUGAUCAAGGGGUUAAGACACCGCCUUUUCACGGCGGUAACACGGGUUCGAAUCCCGUACGGACUA